Molecule: ribosomal RNA, 482 nt
Filed under: uncultured bacterium
Lineage: Bacteria
Description: partial 16S ribosomal RNA
Rfam family: Bacterial small subunit ribosomal RNA
Source: RNAcentral
GACGAACGCUGGCGGCGUGCUUAACACAUGCAAGUCGAACGAUGAAGAAGAGAAACGCGAACUUCGGUUCAAAUUUCACUUCGGAUUAGUGGCAGACGGGUGAGUAACGCGUGAGCAACCUACCUCUUACAAAGGGAUAGCCUCGGGAAACCGUGAUUAAUACCAUAUGACACAUUCAUAAGGCAUCUUAAGAAUGUUAAAGCUACGGCGGUAAGAGAUGGGCUCGCGUCCCAUUAGCUAGUUGGUGAGGUAACGGCCCACCAAGUCGACGAUGGGUAACCGGCCUGAGAGGGUGAACGGUCACAUUGGAACUGAGACACGGUCCAAACUCCUACGGGAGGCAGCAGUGGGGAAUAUUGCACAAUGGAGGGAACUCUGAUGCAGCGACGCCGCGUGAGCGAUGAAGGAAUUCGUUUCGUAAAGCUCUGUUCUAUGGGAAGAAAAGGACUGUACCAUAGGAGAAAGCCCCGGCUAAAUACGUG